AGCACUCAUGCUUUUGCUCAACUUUAGACAAAGACUUACAAAGAAGUGCAAAAAAUAGUCUCUUGCAACCAGGAAUUCAUUGUUCGGUGAAUUUUGAUACAUAAAAGAGGAAAUAUU
Oryctolagus cuniculus (rabbit) is the source of this 117-nucleotide small nucleolar RNA. Lineage: Eukaryota; Metazoa; Chordata; Mammalia; Lagomorpha; Leporidae. The record is from Ensembl.